AGUGAACGCUGGCGGCAGGCCUAACACAUGCAAGUCGAACGGCAGCACAAGAGAGCUUGCUCUCUGGGUGGCGAGUGGCGGACGGGUGAGGCAUGCAUCGGAAUCUGCCCAUUUGUGGGGGAUAACCUCGGGAAACCGGGACUAAUACCGCAUACGACCUACGGGUGAAAGCAGGGGAUCUUCGGACCUUGCGCAGAUGGAUGAGCCGAUGCCGGAUUAGCUAGUUGGAGGGGUAAAGGCCCACCAAGGCGACGAUCCGUAGCGGGUCUGAGAGGAUGAUGAGCCACACUGGGACUGAGACACGGCCCAGACCCCUAGGGGAGGCAGCGGUGGGGAAUAUUGGACAAUGGGCGCAAGCCUGAUCCAGCCAUGCCGCGUGUGUGAAGAAGGCCUUCGGGUUGUAAAGCACUUUUGUUGGGAAAGAAAAGCAGCCGGUUAAUACCCGGUUGUCAUGACGGUACCCAAAGAAUAAGCACCGGCUAACUUCGU
RNAcentral lists this ribosomal RNA (489 nucleotides) under uncultured bacterium. RNAcentral's name for it is "partial 16S ribosomal RNA". It matches the Rfam family "Bacterial small subunit ribosomal RNA", at positions 29 to 506 of the family's 1533-position model. The record is from RNAcentral.